CAUCAUCCAAUCAUAUUGGAGA
Molecule: microRNA, 22 nt
Filed under: Lotus japonicus
Lineage: Eukaryota; Viridiplantae; Streptophyta; Magnoliopsida; Fabales; Fabaceae
Description: lja-miR11108d-5p
Source: miRBase by way of RNAcentral